Molecule: non-coding RNA, 173 nt
Organism: Caenorhabditis elegans
Lineage: Eukaryota; Metazoa; Nematoda; Chromadorea; Rhabditida; Rhabditidae
Source: Ensembl
GAUAGAACCAGGAUUGUAAAGUUUGACAAGUUUAGGGUCGGUUGAAUAACUACUGGACCGAUCAAAUCAUAAAAAAGUGAGGAAUGUAAAUAUGACUGUAAAGAUUAGAAUCGAUUAGAAGGUCUGGCAAAACUGGCCCUAAUAUGAACAGAAUUGACGAAAAUAAAUUGAGU